Molecule: ribosomal RNA, 255 nt
Filed under: uncultured bacterium
Lineage: Bacteria
Description: partial 16S ribosomal RNA
Rfam family: Bacterial small subunit ribosomal RNA
Source: RNAcentral
UACGUAGGGUGCAAGCGUUAAUCGGAAUUACUGGGCGUAAAGCGUACGCAGGCGGUCUGUUAAGACCGAUGUGAAAUCCCCGGGCUUAACCUGGGAACUGCAUUGGUGACUGGCAGGCUUUGAGUGUGGCAGAGGGAGGUAGAAUUCCACGUGUAGCAGUGAAAUGCGUAGAGAUGUGGAGGAAUACCGAUGGCGAAGGCAGCCGUCCUCGGCGCAAACACUGCGCUCAUGCACGAAAGCGUGGGGAGCAAACGG